UAGGGAAUCUUCCACAAUGGACGAAAGUCUGAUGGAGCAACGCCGCGUGAGUGAAGAAGGAUUUCGGUUCGUAAAACUCUGUUGCAAGGGAAGAACAAGUAGCGUAGUAACUGGCGCUACCUUGACGGUACCUUGUUAGAAAGCCACGGCUAACUACGUGCCAGCAGCCGCGGUAAUACGUAGGUGGCAAGCGUUGUCCGGAAUUAUUGGGCGUAAAGCGCGCGCAGGUGGUUCUUUAAGUCUGAUGUGAAAGCCCCCGGCUCAACCGGGGAGGGUCAUUGGAAACUGGGGAACUUGAGUGCAGAAGAGGAUAGUGGAAUUCCAAGUGUAGCGGUGAAAUGCGUAGAGAUUUGGAGGAACACCAGUGGCGAAGGCGACUGUCUGGUCUGUAACUGACACUGAGGCGCGAAAGCGUGGGGAGCAAACAGG
RNAcentral lists this ribosomal RNA (429 nucleotides) under Bacillota bacterium. Its description in RNAcentral is "Firmicutes bacterium partial 16S ribosomal RNA". It matches the Rfam family "Bacterial small subunit ribosomal RNA", at positions 355 to 776 of the family's 1533-position model. Lineage: Bacteria; Bacillati; Bacillota. RNAcentral also lists the same sequence under 2 other names. The record is from RNAcentral.